RNAcentral lists this unclassified non-coding RNA (2863 nucleotides) under Chelonus insularis. RNAcentral describes it as "pre-mRNA-splicing factor CWC25 homolog, transcript variant X3". Lineage: Eukaryota; Metazoa; Arthropoda; Insecta; Hymenoptera; Braconidae. The record is from RNAcentral.
AUUAAAACAAGUUUAGUUAUUCCUAUCAAUUUUCCUUAUUAAUUAUAGUUUUAAUUAUAAUAAUAAUAAAUAUACAGUGGACUUAAUACCAGAGAGAAGACUUCUCUCUGCUUAAUACUAUGAAGGGAUUUUUAUUUUUAGAUCUUUUAAUAUGGUAGGCCUUCUGCUCUUUUCAAUUACCUUAUGGCACCCUGCUGAAAAAUCUCUCAGCUGAUUCUUGAAGUGUUUAUAUUUUCGUAAAGCUUGUUAACUUAUCAUUCUAAAUAUUUUUGUAGUGCAAAUUGAAAUAUUAAACAAUUCAAUUCAUCGCAACGAUGGGUGGUGGAGAUUUGAAUUUAAAAAAAUCAUGGCAUCCAUCAACAAUGAAAAAUAUGCAAAAGGUAUGGAAAGCUCAACAACAAGACAAUCAAGAAAAGAAAAGAAUUGCUGAGUUAAAGAGAGAUAUAGAAAUGGAACGAGAUCAAGAAGAUAUGAAAAAAUAUGCAAUGGAACAAGGAGUUAUUGAAAAGAAGGAAGAUAGAAAGUUAGAUUGGAUGUAUAAAAGACCUAAUCAAAUAAAUAGAGAAGACUAUUUGACGGGAAAAAAGAUCGAUAAAGAUUUUGAACAAUUUUCCCAAGCUGAGAAAGAUGCUGAACGUAAUAGAGCUGCAACUAAUCAUGUAGAAUAUGAAUGUAUUCCACCUUCAUUAAGGUCAUUUACUGGUAAUGAACAAGUAGAUUUAGCUCGAAAAUUACAAGAAGAUCCUUUGUAUGCAAUUAAAAAAAAGGAAAUAGAAUCUCGAAGUAAACUUUUAAAGAAUCCAGUAAAAUUAAAAAAACUUCAAGCACUAGUAAGUGAAAAACAAUCCAGCAGUGGACCUUUAUUUAAGCAUAAAUCUAAGAGUCAUAAGGAUUCAUCAAGUAGCACGAAAAAAGAUGAUCGACACUCUUUUAAAAACAAAAUUCUAUCUGAUAAGGAAAAAUUAAAAAAGCUUAAAGAGAUGAUGGAAAAUGCCUCUUGGCGUGAAAAGGAACGUAAGAAAAGUGUGAAACGAUAUCAAGAACAAGCAAAAAAAGAUCAGAGAGAACAAAAUAACAAAAAAUAUAGCAGUGAUUUCAUAAGAAAACAACUAGUGAAAGCCACUGAAGUUAGUACUGUCGCAUCUAGGAUAAAAUCUAACAUGAAUAAUAUCCAACGAUCUGAAAAAGCAAUGGACACAAACUUUGCCAAAAGAUAACAUGACGUAACAUUGCAUUAUAAAAGCACGCCAUAUUUGAAUUAUCGAGAAGAAUCGCUGCUUAAACAAUCCUACUGGAAGGACGAAGUUCAAUAGGGAAAUUUCCUAUUGAAGAUAUUUUUCUAUAGAAAUUGCUUGUAUCUUAUUCAGUUAUCCUAUGGGGAAACGCUAAUUACUAUUCCCAUUGAGAAUUUCCUAUUAAAUUAAGGGUAAACCUAUUGAACGUUUCAGGAAGAUCUUAUUACCAUCUUAUUACCACAAAAAAAAAAUCAGUUUACAUAAGAGAAAUUUUAUAAUUCGCUCUCGAGGUUUUUAUUUAUACAGAUUUGUUGUUUAAAUAUACACUUCCAAUGGAAUUUAUUAGAAACUUUGCUCAAAAAAAUCCUGUUUAUGUUGAGAUUUGAUCCUGGUAUCCUCGGGUCCACAAGUCCAGUACGCUAAUGACUAAGCUAUUCUAAUUAGAAUGUCAUGUCUUCAUGUUUUAAUGACUUUUGCCUAAUCAGUUUGAGUCGAACAUUGAUAAUAAUUCAAACAUUAAUCACGUUUGCUUCUUAUCAAGCAGAAAAAAAAUAAUUAUAAUUUGUAAAAUUUGACAAGUAAAAUGCAACUCAGAAAUUAUAUUUUUUUCCAAUAUUUCGUGAUAAGAUUUUAUAUUAUUCAAAAGAAGAACAUUAGCACAAUUUCAAUAGCAAGUCGAUGGAUUCAAAAGGAAAAUACAACGAAAAGGAAUAUACAGCAUAGAAAAUAUUUUCUUAUUGCCCUCGAUGCUUUCAUAAGAAUUUGAGCAUUUAAAUAGGCUCAAUUUGUACAUGUUUCUAUAGGAAGUAAAUAAAUUAAAAAACAAAAUACGACUUAGCACUUUGUAGUGGCACUAUUCUUCAACAGGAUUUAAUAUUUUCUUACACGGAAGAUUUUAUGAGGAAUGAAUAGAUUGAAAAGGAAAAUGUGACUUAGAAAAUAUUCUUUCAUCACGAUAUUCCCUAUUAGGAUUAUGGAAAUAAUUUUCUGGCAAAGCUCUGCUAAAGCUCUGGUAAAACUCGAGCAGAACUUUGACAAAAUUGUGGAAAAUACCUGAAAUCUUCUUAAGUAUUUUCGACAAUUUCUCGUAACUCUGUCAUAAUUCUGAAAACAAUUUGACAAUUUGAACAUCUUUAGAAUUUGGCUACAAUUAUUCUGGAAAAAGUCUCAAAAAUAUCUGAUUUUUUCUCAACUUUUUUCUGGCUUUUUAUUGAUUUUUUUAUGACAAAAAUUAGAAAAAUUCUAAAAUUGUCCUGGCAACAUUCUGAAAUUUUUCUGGUAAAAUUUUGGAAUUUCAAAAUCAAUAUAAUCGACUUUUAUCUAGAAAAAUUUUGAAAUAUUUUAGGAGACGUCAGACUUUUUCUUGACUUUUUUCAAUCGCUUAAGAAGGAAAUCAAUGUUAUAGAUGUCCAAUGUGCGGGACAAUUGUAACGAGAGUUGAUAAGCUAACACUUGAGUAUGAGUUGCAAUUUUAUUUUGUAUCAUUUUAUAUCCAAUUCAAAAAAUAUUUCAUUUUUUCAAGGAAAAAUGUAACUAUGUAUUGCUUGAUAUGCAAUUAAAAAAUUUUCUCAUUUUCUUUUUAAGGAAAAAUAUGAUAAUGUGUUGCUUAAUAUGCAAUUUAAAAUAUA